AUUGAACGCUGGCGGCAGGCCUAACACAUGCAAGUCGAACGGUAACAUUUCUAGCUUGCUAGAAGAUGACGAGUGGCGGACGGGUGAGUAAUGCUUGGGAACUUGCCUUUGCGAGGGGGAUAACAGUUGGAAACGACUGCUAAUACCGCAUAAUGUCUUCGGACCAAACGGGGCUCCGGCUCCGGCGCAAAGAGAGGCCCAAGUGAGAUUAGCUAGUUGGUAAGGUAACGGCUUACCAAGGCGACGAUCUCUAGCUGUUCUGAGAGGAAGAUCAGCCACACUGGGACUGAGACACGGCCCAGACUCCUACGGGAGGCAGCAGUGGGGAAUAUUGCACAAUGGGGGAAACCCUGAUGCAGCCAUGCCGCGUGUGUGAAGAAGGCCUUCGGGUUGUAAAGCACUUUCAGUUGUGAGGAAAAGUUAGUAGUUAAUACCUGCUAGCCGUGACGUUAACAACAGAAGAAGCACCGGCUAACUCCGUG
RNAcentral lists this ribosomal RNA (482 nucleotides) under uncultured bacterium. RNAcentral's name for it is "bacterial SSU rRNA". It matches the Rfam family "Bacterial small subunit ribosomal RNA", at positions 30 to 507 of the family's 1533-position model. The record is from RNAcentral.